GCAAGACGACGAGCUGCGGACACUAAAAUCGCAAAGAUGCAGAGAAGAUUAACAUGGUCCCUACGCAAGGCUGACAUGCAAAAUCGUGAAGCGAAAAAAAGUAAU
Molecule: small nuclear RNA, 105 nt
Organism: Schistocerca piceifrons (Central American locust)
Lineage: Eukaryota; Metazoa; Arthropoda; Insecta; Orthoptera; Acrididae
Source: RefSeq, a predicted model, not a curated record